This 6215-nucleotide long non-coding RNA is filed under the name Coffea arabica (coffee). RNAcentral's name for it is "long non-coding RNA (CARA_LNC005154)". The record is from RNAcentral. Lineage: Eukaryota; Viridiplantae; Streptophyta; Magnoliopsida; Gentianales; Rubiaceae.
UUUUAUUUAGUUUUAUAAAUAAUUAACUAAGAUUCUAGUGAAAAUAUGCAUUUUGUGGUUAAAGUGUGAAAAUUGCAUUUCUAUUGAUUUUUAUGGUAAAAACUUCAUAUUUUGUAGGUUUAAUGAUUCAAUCAUCAAAUGAAGUGCAUUGAGAAAAUAUUUGGAUGAUUGAAGAUGGAUUAAAAUGGUGAAAAUAAAAUAUAAAGUGUAAAAGGAAAAAUGCAAUUUGAAUCAAGAAAAAGUCAGCUUUGACAAUUCAGACACAUUUUCGUAUUUUGACUAUAUCUGGAGCUACACAGAUCGGAUCAAGGUGAUCUUGGUACCAUUUUGAAACUAAGAGAUAUAUCUACAUUUGGUGUGAAGACAUCAAAGUCCAAUUCGGCUGUUUUCUUGGUCAAAAUGUCAAAAUACAGAAGUCAAAGUCUGCUGCUGAGAGCUGAAAACGCGGAAUUGACCAGUCAGUGGUAUUUUUAUCAUAUCUCGGUCUAGACAGCUCCAAAUUGGAUGAUUCUUGAGGCAUUGGACAGCUAUUUCAAUGGACUACAACUUCUAUGUUUUGUACAAGAGCUAAUUCAGUCGUCAUCAUAGAGAAAAUAGCAGUUGAAGUAGCCAGAUUCUGGUCAGAAAUAGCUGCUGGUACAACCUGUUUUCUCCUUCAACAAUUUACAGCUAUGGAUGAACGUAUGACAACCAAUUAGCAGCUGUAAAAGGGAUGUUUCAAGCCUCAUUUCCUGAUUGCAUUGAUCUAUAUAUAGCCAUGGACUUGCAGGAUUCAGAAAAAAACUUGGGAGAAGGCUAGAGAAACUCACCAGAAAUGUAGUUUUCACUAGAGUUUCCUUGGUUCAUUAGUAUAGUAUAGGUAGAGUAGUUUAUCCAUCUUGUAUUUGUAGUUAGAUUUGGAUGAAGAUUGGAGGGGCAAAGAUGAAGAGGUUGAUCUCAUGUGACAAGGGUGAUAUCUCUUCUACUACUUUCUCUCUUUUAUUGGAUUUCAUGUUUAAUUAUAAUACAAGUUGGCUUUGUGUUUUUAUUAUGUUUAGUUAAAGUUUAUGCCUAGAGUUAUGGUUGAACUUGCUAUAUUUUGUUAAUGAUGUUUAUUUGGUUAUUUGGUCAUAUUAUUUUGAGCAAGCUAUUUAUCACUUUUGGUUAUCUAAUCAUGAUUAACUGGCCAUUAAUUAUGAUAAUCUUAAGGUGUUAAGUUUGCAAUGAAAAUUGGAAUUUAACACUAGUUCAAAGAAGUGAUAAGCCUAGGGAGUACACUCACGAAAGUAGAGGUGCACCUAUGCGGCUUAAGUGACUUGUUUCAUGUAAUUUCAUAGAAGAAAUGAACUUGUAGUUAAUUUCAUAACCACGAGAGUAGGUAUGACUUAAUUACAAGUAUAGUUGAUUCACUACGAAAGUAGGUUUCACAUACAUUAGGAAAUUACGCCAUAACUAAUCAAGAUAAUAGCAUUCACUUAACCGAUAAUCUCAUUUGCAAGAGUAGUAAGGAAUUCCAUAUCUCUAGGAGCUUUCUAGUGUUAUUUUCUUAAAUUUUAUAUUUGUGGUAGUCUAAAUAAUAAAGGAGUUUGAAAACAUCAGUAAUUGCAUUCUUCCCUGUGGGAUCGACCCUUAAUACCCUAUACUCGCUCACGAUUCGUAUACUUGCGAUAAAUCGCGUGUGGGGUAUUUAGGAAUUUAUAAAUGUAAAACUUGAUUGGGAUGAGCUUAAUAUUAUAUGUAUACCCCGCGCACGUCAAGUUUUUGGCGCCGCUGCCGGGGAAAAUUUGGCAAUAUCGGUGUGAAGAGCAACUUUAUUAAUUUAGACAAUUUUUCUUAUUUUUAUUGUUUUUGCUGUAUCUUAUGUGUUUUAUGUCAUUUUUUUUUUUGAAUCAACUUUUAUUUUAUUUUAUUUUUUCUGUUUUAGUUUGUGUCUUGGAAUCUAUCCUUCUUAACUAAUCUUACUUUUGAGAUUGUUUAAAAGUAAUUUUAGAUAAUGAGGAGGGUAGGUGAAUUGGGAGGACAAUGCUUGAGAAAUGGAAGUUUGGCAAUGGAUGGUUACCAAGUGCAAAGCUCCUUCAACAGAGGUAACCAAGAAUUUACUGAAGAUAUGUUUUUUGAAAAUGGUUUAAGGUGCUUAAAAGCUAAAUUUGAUGUUAUGAUGUUACAAGUUUAAAUGGACACAAUUAAGCAUGAAAUUGAGCAAGGGAGGAAUGUUAAUGCUUUUAAUUCUUAUCAUGUGAUUUGUGACUUGUGUGGAGGUUAUCAUGCUACUAAUACAUGUAUGCAAGUACAAAAUGUGGAUUAUUAUUAUGAAUUAGAGCAUUACAAUCCUUGUUUUGAUCAAUAUAGUGCUAAUUGGAGCAAUUCUCCUGCUUAUGGUUGGGAUAAUCAAUUUACUUAUAGUAAUUCUUCAUAUUUUUACGAUUACCAACCUGAAUGUGUCCAAUAUGAAUCAAAACCAUCUUGGGAGUUGGCAAUUGAAAUGGUAGCUAAUGAUUCUAAGCCAUCUUGGGAGUUAGCUUUAGAAAAAUUAGCUAUUGCAACUUCUGACCGUUUUGACAGGAUUGAGGAAAGAAUAGAUGAAUUAGCUUCUCACUUUGGUAGAAUACAUGAGCAAUUGAGUGCAUUGUGUGAAGUUAUUUCGUCUAAUAAAUUGCAAAAUGAUCCUAGCAUGAAUGGUAGGAAUGUUGUAUGUGAAAAUGGAUUGCAUUUUGAUGAAAAUGAUGAAUCUCAAUUGUGUUUCAAUGAGCAAAUGUCCAUUUCACAUGAUAAUAUCUUUGGAACUAACUUUGAACCUCAAGAGGUGAGUUUUAAUGACUCAUUUUUCAUCCCUCUUGAGGAGUGCAUUGAAAGUAUAGGUUCUAAGGGUAUUGCUGCCCAAGAUACUCUCAUGACAUUUCCUUUGGUAAGUUUUCAAGUGGUAUAUAUUCAAAGUAAUAUCUAUGAAACACUUGGGAUAGGUAAGCUACUUUCAUCUCUCACAUCAUUAGAACAUGUGACUUUUACUAUAAAGUCACCUUUUAAUGAUCCACCACGAUCUAAAAUGGUGGAUUACUCUUUAACCAAACCUCCUUGAAAAAUGAGGUUCAAUAGUCGAGCCAACGACUAUAAAUAAAAGCGCUUAUUGGGAGGCAACCCAAUGUUUUGGCUAUUUAUGUUAUUUUUGUGUGAUUUUAUGUUUGGAGUAUGUGUUUGAGUUAUUUCAUUAUUUUUCAUUUAUAGGUAUCGGAAAUGAAAGCAAAAGUGACCAAAUGAGGUGAAAAAGACGAAAUUUGAUCAAGGAACUCAACCCCUCGAUUUGAGUAAUUGUUGUUUUUGAUUCGUUACAAGGGGUUAAAAUGCAUGUUUUGAUCAUUUUACAUGUGCAUGCAUUGAGAAUUUUAGCAAACAAAUGAUCUAUGAUGCAUUUUGAGUGAUUGAGGUACCAAUGGUAAUUUUUCAAAGUUGGCUUUCUGCAAAAAUUUCGCAGAAGAAAACGUAUUUGGGCUGAAAACGCGCCUUAGAAUCGCGUUUUCCAUAAGCGCGUUUCUAAUUCUGCGCCCUCACUGAAGAAAACGCGCUUCGAAACGCGCGAUGAAGUCGCGUUUUCUACAAAGUCGCGUUUUCCAGCCUGUUCAGAAACCAGAAACGCGCCUUCAAAUACGCGACUUAAACUCGCGUUUUCUCAUGUAGUCGCGUUUUCUAUGCUGCAAAUUUUGUGAAGAAACGUGAUUUCACAAAACGCAGCUUUAGGCGCGUUUUAUUGAGCCGCGUUUUCUGAGCACAUUUUUUAAAAAAAAAAAAUGCAGUUUUCUUGAUUCUCUUUUUCUUCUUUUCCUCAUAUAUUUUCUUGUACCUUGAGUUGCUUAUUGUGUAUUUUCUAUAGGUACAUCACCACCACAAGGGCUUAGGAAUUGCGGAUCGCCGUUAUAUGUUUAUUAAGCCUUUGUUAUCACUUUUGUUUCUCAUUUUCCAUUUUUAGGUUUAUAUCACUAAUGGUUACCAAAUGGAACUCAUGAAGCGAUGAAGAUAGGCGAACAACGUACCUUGAAGCUUCAUAUUCAAUCACAUCAUAGGGGAGUAUUACUUUCUUUAUCUUGAUUUUCCUUUUCACACAUUGAGGACAAUGUGCAUGUUAAGUGUGGGGGGAAGAAUUGAGAUUAUAUAUAUACAUUGUAUGUGAUUGAAUUAUUAGUUGCAAAUAUUGGACUUGUGUUAAAAUUCAAAAUUUUCUACAAUCUUGUCCAAAAUUGCAAACUUGCCCCAAAAAAAGUUUCAAUUUUUUUCGAUUUUAUCCAAAGGGGUAACAAGUUUCAUACCAUUAGUAGUUCAAAUUUCUUCUACAUUUGAGAUAAAUAUAUGUGAUUUGGAAACUUCUUUUAUCAUUUAACUUGGAAAUGACUAUUAUGUGAUUAUAAUUUUUGCAUUUGUAGGAAAGUAUAUCUUUUAAAGUGGAGAAAAUUAUGCCUAUAUUUUUUUGCAUAUUUGAUGAAAUUUCUUCGCUUUAUUGGAUUUUAUAAGUUAAGUGAUAAAUAUGGUCAAUAAUUGCAAUACUCUUCUCAUGAUUAUGCUUUCGAGGGAAUGUUAUUAUCUUUACUUUAAAAAAAAAAAUAAAUGAAAAAAAAAGAAGAAAAAAAAAAGAUUUAUUCUACUCCAAUGAUUCUUGUACUUAGUAACCGGGUGUCUUCAUCUACAAAUGUCGACUUUCGCGUAAAAAGGUACUUGAAUUAAGAGUAUGCAAAGCAACUUGAGUAUGUGAAGUGUUGAGUAACCGGUGAUCUUCAUCUAAAAAUGUCGACACUCGCGUAAAAAGAUACUUUCACAACUUAAGUAAUAUUUAGCUAUAUUAUAUAAAUAAAUCCCUCUUUAAGUUAAAUAAGAAGAUGAUCAUGGGUUUAGGAAGCAUAUUAUUGGCCAUAUGAGUUACUUGCGUAUGAAAUUGGUUAAGGAUGAGAAAUUGACUUGAAUUUGUUAUAAUGGUGGUAUAAUUGGCUCUCCUUUACUUGAUAUUAUGAGUACUUGAAUUUAAUUGAAUAAUUGCAUAAUGGUUAUUUACUUUGUUUUGAGGAAAUGAAGUUGAAAUGCUACAUAUGUUUAUUUUCAAAUUUUGGAUCAUUGUUGGUUUGUAUUUCUUAUUGCUUGAGGACAAGCAAUGGUUCAAGUGUGGGGGUAUUUGAUAAGAGUAUAUUUUACGUAUUUUUAGUGUGCUUUAUUAAUUAGUUUUGGUGUGUUUUAUUUAGUUUUAUAAAUAAUUAACUAAGAUUCUAGUGAAAAUAUGCAUUUUGUGGUUAAAGUGUGAAAAUUGCAUUUCUAUUGAUUUUUAUGGUAAAAACUUCAUAUUUUGUAGGUUUAAUGAUUCAAUCAUCAAAUGAAGUGCAUUGAGAAAAUAUUUGGAUGAUUGAAGAUGGAUUAAAAUGGUGAAAAUAAAAUAUAAAGUGUAAAAGGAAAAAUGCAAUUUGAAUCAAGAAAAAGUCAGCUUUGACAAUUCAGACACAUUUUUGUAUUUUGACUAUAUCUGGAGCUACACAGAUCGGAUCAAGGUGAUCUUGGUAUCAUUUUGAAGCUAAGAGAUAUAUCUACAUUUGGUGUGAAGACAUCAAAGUCCAAUUCGGCUGUUUUCUUGGUCAAAAUGUCAAAAUACAGAAGUCAAAGUCUGCUGCUGAGAGCUGAAAACGCGGAAUUGACCAGUCAGUGGUAUUUUUAUCAUAUCUCGGUCUAGACAGCUCCAAAUUGGAUGAUUCUUGAGGCAUUGGACAGCUAUUUCAAUGGACUACAACUUCUAUGUUUUGUACAAGAGCUAAUUCAGCCGUCAUCAUAGAGAAAAUAGCAGUUGAAGUAGCCAGAUUCUGGUCAGAAAUAGCUGCUGGUACAACCUGUUUUCUCCUUCAACAAUUUACAGCUAUGGAUGAACGUAUGACAACCAAUUAGCAGCUGUAAAAGGGAUGUUUCAAGCCUCAUUUCCUGAUUGCAUUGAUCUAUAUAUAGCCAUGGACUUGCAGGAUUCAGAAAAAAACUUGGGAGAAGGCUAGAGAAACUCACCAGAAAUGUAGUUUUCACUAGAGUUUCCUUGGUUCAUUAGUAUAGUAUAGGUAGAGUAGUUUAUCCAUCUUGUAUUUGUAGUUAGAUUUGGAUGAAGAUUGGAGGGGCAAAGAUGAAGAGGUUGAUCUCAUGUGACAAGGGUGAUAUCUCUUCUACUACUUUCUCUCUUUUAUUGGAUUUCAUGUUUAAUUAUAAUACAAGUUGGCUUUGUGUUUUUA